Molecule: long non-coding RNA, 3230 nt
Organism: Magallana angulata
Lineage: Eukaryota; Metazoa; Mollusca; Bivalvia; Ostreida; Ostreidae
Exons: 2
Source: RefSeq, a predicted model, not a curated record
GCUCACCUGAGCUGAAAGCUCAAGUGAGCUUUUCUGAUCACAUUUUGUCUGUCGUCCGUCUGUCCGUCUGUCCGUCCGUGUUUACGAGAGUGCAUGUAUUGGGUUCUUUUUAUACUUAAUUGGUACUAAUUGGGUACUUUUUUCUUAUUGGGUAUACCCAAGAGGAAGUGUCGCUUAAUCUACUUAAAAUGCCUUAAUUGGGUACAUGAAAGUUAGUACCCAACAAAACUUAGACACUGCGACUUGUCCAAUAAAGUGUCUGAAAAAGUUGCUUCUAUGGACGCACCAUGUAUUCGCUUCUAUAUCAUACUUUCGGAACACUAAAUUUAGCUAAGCUGCGGUCAUAGUAACUCCCGAGAGUUCCGAAAAGCCAUUCCGUUAAUCUUGUUCUAUCAAGCGUUUGAUAUCACACACAACAACAAUGGCGUCUGCAAGGCAUAGUGAGCACGAGGUCAAGAUCCCAAAAGUAAGUUUCUUGAUUUAUUCACACUUUAAAAAUAAGUCUUGCUUUGAUACAUUUUGUCAAACAUAAGGAUAUUUUACUUUAUUAAUCAAUUUUGAACUACAUUCGGAUAAUUAUAGUAAUAAAAGGACUUAUGUGUAUUUCGAAUUUCCUCUGUCUUGAUCGUCUUAACAUACAUUGAAUAGCGGAUGCCUUUUUUUAUGAAAGUAAAUUCAAUUCAAAACCACCACUGUCCUAGCCUCUGGUUUUUGCAAAGUUAAACCCGAACUUCACGCACGAGUGACCUGAGACAAUAGACAAUACAGUUAAACACUAUAGAGAGGCCCAAGCUGAGGGGGUAUACAGGUAUACACAGCUGUCCUGUUAAAUUGGUGAUUUGACACCUAAUUACUGGUGCAAUAAUUUGAUAAAUAACAACUGUAUUAUCUCCUUGAAAUUAGUAGGCUAAUUGUACAAGCUAGAUUAACACUGAGACAUCGUAAGGUUAUCUAAAAAAUAGAAAUAACACAAAAGAAUAUAUUUUAUGGAGAUAAUUUGAAAUUUCAACACCGAGGCAUCUAAAACCAUGAUUUGACUAAAGAAACAUUUUAAUAAAAAACUAGAUGUGAAGUUUUCCUAUUCUUUUCUAAGCUUUUAAGCUAUUGUCAGAUUAACCAGAAUUUUCUCUGUUUCCCAAAAAACGUAACUACACUUCUUGAAGAAUGCAGAAACUUAAUUAAUUCACAAUGAAAGAUUGCAAUAUUGUUUUGCAGAUUUUAAUGCCACUUGAUUUUUAAAAACCCUAAAAUAACAAUUUCAAUAUCCAAAUUUCUGUGGUAAAAAGGGUUUAAUAAUUUUGCCAUCAGUUGUCUACUUAUUUUCUUUUGAUUGAGAAGUGGACAGGCAUAGUCUACACUCAUGCUAUGCCUGUCUACUUCUCAAAAGAGAAUAUUGUCUACAUUAUACAUGUCCUAUGAUUCAUUACUGGAUACAGAUGUGUUCAAGUUUACAUAUAGCCUAAAUGAAAUAAAGAAUUUUUAAUGCAUUAUACUUUAAAACUAGUCAGACUGUUCUAAGGGAUGAAAAUAAAUGUAAAUCAAUUUAAGAGAGAAAAAAAAAUGAAAAUAAAAUAUUGAAUAACACUUUAUAUGUGAAUGCAAAAGCAAAUCAUUUUUUGUACAAUAAUAUUGUUUCAUUACAGAUCUUGAGGUCACAUUUGAUUACGAUGCAAAAUUUUCCUUAAAAUGCGCUUGUUUCCAAGGAUUAAUGAUUUAUAAUAUUACGCAAAAAAAGGUGCCUCUUUCAAGGUUUUAUAAUAUUUACCGCAUAGAAAAGUGCCCUUUUCACCAUUAUUUAACAUGCCCUUUUCAAAUCCUAGAUUUAACACUAUACCAGGCUAUAUAUUAAAAACUAUAUUAUUUAUGAAAGUGAGAAAUCGUAAAUGUGGAUUAUGAAUUUUUAUACUAUGCUACAUGUAACAUCUUGUAUAUUUUUGACGAUGAAUACAUUGUUGGGUAAAAUAAUAUUAAUAAAUCGCUUUUCUGGAACUUGAUAAAUUUGGAAAAAAGCAGUUUUCAGUUGCAAUUAAUUGAAUAAAACUUUCUUGUAGUGAUAGAAGAAGAAGACAUACAGGAAGAUAAAUAAGAGGAUACAUCACUUCGAGGAAAGAAAACCUCCUCAUCUACAUGAAUGAAAUGGACGGAGGCUGAACUGGAGGAGGUUAAGGAAUAUUUCAGAGAAUGUCUGAUCUCGAACACCACUCCAGGAAGAAUAACUUGCAAUAUGUGGAUAGAGGAAAGCAGAGCUAAUAUAAUAAGCGAUGGGAAACUCUAAAGAAGAAAGUGUGGAGUCUGCCCCCCCCCCCCCAAAAAAAAAAUAAAAAAUAAAAAAUAAAACCACCCUGACAGUUUUUGGAUCUAAAAUCUACAGCAAAACUUAAUUAUGUAAUGAUGUUUGUUUUCAUCUUCCUCCUUGCUCUUAUUACAGUGAAUUUUUUUUUUUUUAGUUAGACAAUUUUUUUUCAUUUUCAUCACCGUUUACCAUACUUUUCACUGAAAUUGAAUCAAUGGUAAUUUCUUUUAUUGUGAGAAAGACAUGCAUUGUAUCUUUUUAGAAAGGAUGUAAUCAGUUUGAGAAUGUUAUCAUUCAAAAGUACAUUUUCAUUUAAUUGGACAUUUGAUGAGAAUUUUGUUUGAUCAAGUCAAAUUAUUGCAAGAUUGCAAUUUAUUUAGCAGUAUGGUAGUAUAAAAUUAUUUGUAGUAUUUUCGUGGAUUUUCUUCAUUUGAUGAGAACUUCUUUUAUUAAAGGAACUGAUUGCCAAUUUUUGUUACUAAGCACUUGAUUUAUUUAAGACACCGUUUGCCCUUUGUCAUAAAUAUAUCUUUGUAUCAAAGCCUAGAUUAUUAUCUUUCUGUGUUUUGAAGAUAAAAACAAAAGAAAGUUGACACCUCUUAGUUUGGUAAUUACAUAUACUUUGUGGUAGAUGAAUUGAAGGUUUGUGGACAAAUUAUUUUCAUUAUAUUGCUUGAAUUUUCUUGAACUGUGGCCAUGUUGCAAUUAUUUAAGAUCCAUGCUUAGAAAAAUUGUUAAUUGCUAAAUUGUCAUUUGCAUAACAGCCAGGUAGUUGCAAAAUGAUGGUACAUGUACCUUGACCUAUCAUAAAUUGAUAUUUGUAAAGGUUUCUAGACCAGAUAUGUGGUGUUCAAAAAAUAUUUGAACUAUUUAAUGCUUAUAAUGCUUAUGAAUGCCAAUUGUUUUUUGAAAAAUAAAAACGAAAUGUUAAAAUCUC